CUAAACCUGACAAAAAGAUUGACUAUCAAAACGCCGGUUACGUUUAGCAUUCGCUACAAGCACGGGUAUCGAUGCGAUUGUUACGUUUAUUCAAAUUCCCAAGUCUGUUGCAUUUUAAGCAUCUUACAGCGAUUCGUUGUCACUUGUUAUUGAGACAAGCCUUUGUCCGUGAAAAAUGUAGAUUCGUUAAAAAUGAUCGUUCAUUCGUAAUUCGUGCCCAGAUAAGAAAUUUGCCUAUCCGCGUUGAAGGGAUCGCGAGCAACUUCUGUGACUCACUGUGUAUACGUGCGCAGCGUGAAGGUAAGAAACGUGGAAGGUAAUGCCCGGGCACCGAGGUUCGAGUUCCCUUCGCACGAGUCGUGGUGAAAGUCGCUUCGAAUCAGACUAGCGGGCUAUCCCCACCGGGACGUGUCUUCGCGUUAAUGUCGUUUUCCCAUAGAAAUCCCCGGUGUUGCCUCUCCCUCUAUCCCCCACAGCGAUCGACUAACGACGCUAUCCACAGGACGACCGCGAAAAUUCCGCCGUAGCUUCCGGUCCAUGCUCGCGUUCCGUUCCGCGGAUCGUGUAACGAGCCAACAGCGUCCGGGAGAUACUCGCACCGUUGGCAGGUAACACUAUCGAACGGGAUUCGCCGUUGUUUUUCUACACAUGCCAGAGACGCGACAUCUCGAGUCUCGAGUUUCACCGGUUUGUUCUUCUGUGAGACGCGGUGGUGUUUUCAGUUUGUCUGUGGAGAACUGGUCCGUUUGGAAGGAUGGAAGAGGGGGAGGAGCGCUGAACGGACUCGACGCUAUGUGUUUAUUUACCUUGCGCUCCUUCGACCGCUGCGAAGGAAUCGUGUAGGAAUCGAUCGUUUCACAGUAGAAACUACACGCGUGUUUUCUCUUGGACAGGCAUUUCGACGGAUUCUAGAGCAGUGUCUCUCAAACGUCAGCUACCCGCAGGUGACGAAAGGAGUGUAUAGAAAUAGGAACUUCAAGGGCUGUUAAAUACGCGUCGACUUUAGCGGGAGUUUACUGGUUUACGGACGAGUCCAUGUCGGGAACAGCUUUUAGCGACGUAACCAAGGAGUAAUUCCGCGAAAACGUGCAUCCACGCGAGAGCGCGUUCUCUUUUCAGGCGUCCACGCAACAGGUACGAGCCACCACCGAUCGACGCACUUAUGCGUUAUUGUUGCGUAAUCGCGGCCUAGUUUGCGCCACCAGGCAACUGUGAUAUUCCCAAAUACAAUUUCGUACAAGCAAGUAUCCUGGCAAGCCUCCCCGACACCUAACCUCUCAGACGAAAGCAACAUUUUGUAGCCUAAGCAACUGGGUUGACGUCGAUAAUAACAACGAAUACUCGGCGUAGAUCGUACACGUAGAAUUGUAGAUGCAGAAUUGUAGAUGCAGAAACAAUAACGUAAACGAAUAAUGGCGUAGGCUUGCGGCUCGCACUGGCAUUAACGGCGUAUGCAAAUUGCUAGGCGUAAGCGAAAGACGUGGACGAGUAAAAACGUCUCCCCGAGAAAUGUCUGCGCGUCGAUUUGCGUAAUUGACCAGUAAAAUGGUUCCAAAUACGCGAUUUGCGUCGGGGAUUUCACUUCCAGUCGCCCUGGCCGUUUUACCGCGAUCCAUACACCGCAAGAGUGUACUACUACUCGAAACUACUACUAGAAGCUAUUUCGCGGUACGGUAUUUACUACCAGGAAAGACGAAGUGUCUUUAAAAUACUUUGAAUAAAUUAAUUGAAAGUACUACACGAAUUAUUUUUGCAUUCUUAGAAAAAGUCUCUUUGAGACAGAUGGCAAAAAAAAAAAUGGAGAGUGCCAGUUUUUGCCCGACUCUUGAGUUCUUGCAACGCUGGGGUUCUGGUCGGUGGAAGAGAAGAGAGCGUCACAAUGCACGAAAGUGCCCAGGCCUCGGUCUAUUCAUGGAAAAAAUGAAAACGCACGGCUGGAUAGCGAAAAUAGCGAAAGUGGUUUCACCUGGGGCCACACGUUUGUUACGCUACUAUCUCUCCCGGGUCGUCUCGGACUCGUAAAGUCUCUCUCGCUUUCCCUCGGUCGGUGAGCACAUUUCACGCGAAGAUCUUGUCUAUGACGAGCCGGUCGGAGGAACCGAAGGAACGAGCCACGCCAGCUAUUAACCCCGUCCGUUUUUCCAAUCGAGGAUCUUAGGGCCGCGGUUGCAAAAGAACGCCAUUAGCAUGGAAGCACGCAACGCCCACACGCACGUCCGUACGUCGUGCGCAUUGACUAAUCGUCGAACCGUGCAUCGGAUGCUCGAGCGGAACCGCGA
This is a long non-coding RNA of Hylaeus anthracinus, 2279 nucleotides long. RefSeq lists it as uncharacterized. The transcript has 3 exons. Lineage: Eukaryota; Metazoa; Arthropoda; Insecta; Hymenoptera; Colletidae. The record is from RefSeq and is a predicted model, not a curated record.